Cyprinus carpio (common carp) is the source of this 368-nucleotide long non-coding RNA. RefSeq lists it as uncharacterized. The transcript is spliced from 3 exons. The record is from RefSeq and is a predicted model, not a curated record. NCBI's taxonomy places the organism in Eukaryota, Metazoa, Chordata, Actinopteri, Cypriniformes, Cyprinidae.
AUCAGAGUGACGUCAUCUCCAAUAUACACCUGUGGGAACUUCGGCAGGAGAGACACUGAGAGAAAAGAAAACAGAUAUAUGGGAGAAGCAUAUUCUCUAACAGCAGAAGACAACAUUUUCCAGCUUCGGUCCACCCCAGACUACACACCUGAGAGCCACAGACUCCCCCUGCAGUGCAGGAACGGCCGGAGGAACCAACAUCACCAUGAGCUCUGAGAAACAGACCAAACACAGAUUGACUCCUAAACUGGAGCGGCUCCCUCCUCUCAACACAGAACAAGUCCAGUCCUUCAGCUCAUCUUCCACCUGCAGCACCAGGUUUCUUCCUUCUCCUUUGGUCAUCACAGCACCUCCUACAGAUGGAGAGA